RNAcentral lists this ribosomal RNA (253 nucleotides) under uncultured bacterium. Its description in RNAcentral is "partial 16S ribosomal RNA". It matches the Rfam family "Bacterial small subunit ribosomal RNA", at positions 524 to 776 of the family's 1533-position model. The record is from RNAcentral.
UACAGAGGGGGCAAGCGUUAUUCGGAAUUAUUGGGCGUAAAGGGCGCGUAGGCGGCCUGGCAAGUGGAAGGUGAAAUCCCUCGGCUUAACCGAGGAACUGCCCUCCAAACUGCUUGGCUUGAGUCCGGGAGAGGUGAGUGGAAUUCCUGGUGUAGCGGUGAAAUGCGCAGAUAUCAGGAGGAACACCAAUGGCGAAGGCAGCUCUCUGGGACGGUACUGACGCUGAGACGCGAAAGCGUGGGGAGCGAACAGG